Molecule: RNase P RNA, 380 nt
Filed under: Rhodospirillales bacterium
Lineage: Bacteria; Pseudomonadati; Pseudomonadota; Alphaproteobacteria; Rhodospirillales
Description: RNase P RNA component class A
Rfam family: Bacterial RNase P class A
About the family: Ribonuclease P (RNase P) is a ubiquitous endoribonuclease, found in archaea, bacteria and eukarya as well as chloroplasts and mitochondria. Its best characterised activity is the generation of mature 5'-ends of tRNAs by cleaving the 5'-leader elements of precursor-tRNAs.
Source: RNAcentral
CCAGAUGGCCGGGUGACCGCUGCCGACGUAAGUCGGGAGAGGAAAGUCCGGGCUCCACGGAAACACGGUGCCGGGUAACGCCCGGCGGGGGCGACCCCAGGGAAAGUGCCACAGAGAGCUGAACCGCCGGUCUUUGACCGGUAAGGGUGAAAAGGUGCGGUAAGAGCGCACCGCGCGACCGGCAACGGAAGCGGCAGGGCAAACCCCACCGGGAGCAAGGCCAAAUAGGGGCGGCACGCAGGUCUUCCUGCAAGCGGCGUUUCCGCGCCCGCCGCCCGGGUCGGCUGCUGAAGAUGCCGGGUAACCGGCAUCGUAGAGGAAUGGUCAUCCAGCGCCCCUCGGGGCGUGGACAGAACCCGGCUUACAGGCCAUCUGGCAUU